This is a long non-coding RNA of Rhineura floridana, 578 nucleotides long. RefSeq lists it as uncharacterized. The record is from RefSeq and is a predicted model, not a curated record. The transcript is spliced from 4 exons. NCBI's taxonomy places the organism in Eukaryota, Metazoa, Chordata, Lepidosauria, Squamata, Rhineuridae.
CACCAUUUUGAAUCUGUCCCAAAAAGGAUAGGCAGAGUGCUGUAAUGCAGACUGGUGGUGGAUAAAUUGCUGUGUUAAAGUUUGCAAUGCCUGUUAUGUGUACCUGCCUGCGCUUCCACCUCUGCAUUUAUAAGUAAAGGGCUAUGACACAGAAAGCACCACAAAGCGACUGUACUCUUUCCUCACAGGCAAAUUGUCGCCAUAAAGAGCUGCCCCAGAAAUUUCUACUGCUUGAAGAAAUAGGGAACGUGGAAUACUUUUGUGCCAUGAUGUGUCAGAGGUGUUUUUCAGUUGGCAGAGUUAUUGCAGAAGCAAAUCAACAGGCGGUAUCCAUUUCCAGAGGGGUAUCAGGUUCCCAGCAGCAGCAUUAGUCAUGUGAGCUGGACAAGACUGUGCAUCUGACUAAAGAUGGGAGAAAGGAAGAAGACCUUCUGCUUCUCAAGAAACCCUUGCGUUCUCUCCUUUGACUGGAUGUGACAGUGGCUCUAGUUACAAAGCUUUUUCGUGGAAAGAAAGAUUGUCAUCUGUUAUAUUAGUUCCAGAUUGCAAAAUGCACUCAAGAGUCAACAAGAUCAGAG